GGGGGUAUAGCUCAGCUGGGAGAGCGCUUGCAUGGCAUGCAAGAGGUCAUCGGUUCGAUCCCGUUUUCCUCCACCA
Molecule: transfer RNA, 76 nt
Filed under: Comamonas sp. Y33R10-2
Lineage: Bacteria; Pseudomonadati; Pseudomonadota; Betaproteobacteria; Burkholderiales; Comamonadaceae
Description: tRNA-Ala
Rfam family: tRNA
About the family: Transfer RNA (tRNA) molecules are approximately 80 nucleotides in length. Their secondary structure includes four short double-helical elements and three loops (D, anti-codon, and T loops). Further hydrogen bonds mediate the characteristic L-shaped molecular structure. tRNAs have two regions of fundamental functional importance: the anti-codon, which is responsible for specific mRNA codon recognition, and the 3' end, to which the tRNAs corresponding amino acid is attached (by aminoacyl-tRNA synthetases). tRNAs cope with the degeneracy of the genetic code in two manners: having more than one tRNA (with a specific anti-codon) for a particular amino acid; and 'wobble' base-pairing, i.e. permitting non-standard base-pairing at the 3rd anti-codon position.
Source: RNAcentral